Molecule: ribosomal RNA, 468 nt
Filed under: uncultured bacterium
Lineage: Bacteria
Description: partial 16S ribosomal RNA
Rfam family: Bacterial small subunit ribosomal RNA
Source: RNAcentral
GACGAACGCUGGCGGCGUGCUUAACACAUGCAAGUCGAACGGAAAGGCCCUGCUUUUGUGGGGUGCUCGAGUGGCGAACGGGUGAGUAACACGUGAGUAACCUGCCCUUGACUUUGGGAUAACUUCAGGAAACUGGGGCUAAUACCGGAUAGGAGCUCCUGCUGCAUGGUGGUGGUUGGAAAGUUUCGGCGGUUGGGGAUGGACUCGCGGCUUAUCAGCUUGUUGGUGGGGUAGUGGCUUACCAAGGCUUGGACGGGUAGCCGGCCUGGGAGGGUGACCGGCCAAAUUGGGACUGAGAUAGGGCCCAGACUCCUACGGGAGGCAGCAGUGGGGAAUAUUGCACAAUGGGCGGAAGCCUGAUGCAGCAACGCGGCGUGCGGGAUGACGGCCUUCGGGUUGUAAACCGCUUUCGCCGGUGACGAAGCGUGAGUGACGGUAAUGGGUAAAGAAGCACCGGCUAACUACGUG